GGGGAUAUAGCUCAGUUGGUAGAGCUCCGCUCUUGCAAAGCGGUUCGAGUCCGCUUAUCUCCA
Molecule: transfer RNA, 63 nt
Filed under: Metasequoia glyptostroboides
Lineage: Eukaryota; Viridiplantae; Streptophyta; Pinopsida; Cupressales; Cupressaceae
Also listed under: 9 other names
Description: tRNA-Ala
Rfam family: tRNA
About the family: Transfer RNA (tRNA) molecules are approximately 80 nucleotides in length. Their secondary structure includes four short double-helical elements and three loops (D, anti-codon, and T loops).
Source: RNAcentral